CACCUAAGCCUCCAAUCCGGUCUAAUGAACUGAGUUGACCAGGUAAGCUCCCAGGUAAGUGGGGGGGGUCACGAUGCGUUGCAAAGGUCCCACUUAAAAACCACUUGCCUCGAACAGAUGAACUGUCUCCCUUAUAGGGACAAAGCUUGCCUAGACAUCAACUGAGCCACAGAGCGAAAUUGGUGCAACUUUCGGUGAUCUUCGUCCUAUUGAGCUCGAAU
RNAcentral lists this long non-coding RNA (221 nucleotides) under Phoenix dactylifera (date palm). RNAcentral's name for it is "long non-coding RNA (PDAC_LNC012647)". Lineage: Eukaryota; Viridiplantae; Streptophyta; Magnoliopsida; Arecales; Arecaceae. The record is from RNAcentral.